Molecule: ribosomal RNA, 1447 nt
Filed under: human gut metagenome
Description: bacterial LSU rRNA
Rfam family: Bacterial large subunit ribosomal RNA
Source: RNAcentral
GGCAAAGGAUGUGCGUCCGCCCAGACAACCAGGAUGUUGGCUUAGAAGCAGCCAUCCAUUCAAAGAGUGCGUAACAGCUCACUGGUCGAGUGGACAUGCGCCGACAAUACACGGGGCUAAGCUGGACACCGAAGCGGCGGGAUUUUGAUUUACAGAAUCGGUAGGGGAGCUUCCCAUGGGCGGAGAAGCCGGAGGGCGACCGACGGUGGAGCGCAUGGGAGUGAGAAUGCUGGCAUGAGUAGCGAGAGACGAGAGAGUAACUCGUCCGCCGUGAACCCGAGGUUUCCUGGGCAAGGCUAAUCCUCCCAGGGUCAGUCGGGGGCUAAGGCGAGGCCGGAAGGCGUAGCCGACGCGCAGCAGGCAGACAUUCCUGCACCGCGCACGCGGCGCUACGACCGACGGGGCGACGGAUGGGGGUGGCUCGGCGGGGUUCUGGACGUCCCCGUGAUGGAGCGCGGCCCGCGGACCAGGGAAAUCCGGUCCGCACGAAGGGCGAGGCUCCGGACGAAGCACUUAAGCGAAGCGAGUGAGCCCGAGGUCCCUAGAAAAACCCCUAGGCAGGCGCGUGCGCGCCCGUACCGCAAACCGACACAGGUGGGUGGGUAGAACAUACCGAGGCGAUCGGGUCAACCAUGGUCAAGGAACUCGGCACAAUGGCCCCGUAACUUCGGGAGAAGGGGUGCCCGCGCGUACGUGAACCGGCUCGCCCGGGGAGCGGAGGCGGGCCGCAGUGGAGAGGCCCAAGCGACUGUUUACCAAAAACACAGGACUCUGCAGAAGCCGCAAGGCGACGUAUAGGGUCUGACGCCUGCCCGGUGCCGGAAGGUCACGCGGAGGAGUUAGCCGAUUCGGCGAAGCCCCGAAGCCAAGCCCCGGUAAACGGCGGCCGUAACUAUAACGGUCCUAAGGUAGCGAAAUUCCUUGUCGGGUAAGUUCCGACCUGCACGAAAGGCGCAACGACUUGGGCGCUGUCUCGACCAUGGACCCGGUGAAAUUGCACUGGUCGUGAAGAUGCGACUUACCCGCGGAAGGACGGAAAGACCCCGUGAACCUUCACUGCAGCUUGGCAUUGGCCGCUGGUCCCGCGUGUAGAGGAUAGGCAGGAGGCAUCGAUCCGGAGGCGCCAGCCCCCGGGGAGCCGCCCUUGGAAUACUGCCCUCGCGCGACCGGCGUCCUAACCCGAGGCCGUCAACCGGCUCGGGGACCGUGCCAGGCGGGCAGUUUGACUGGGGCGGUCGCCUCCUAAAGGGUAACGGAGGCGCGCGAAGGUCCGCUCGGGACGGUCGGCAACCGUCCUUUUGAAUGCAAGAGUACAAGCGGGCUUGACUGCGAGGCCCACAAGCCGAGCAGGUGCGAAAGCAGGCUCUAGUGAUCCGGCGGCCCCGAGUGGGUGGGCCGUCGCUCAACGGAUAAAAGGUACUCCGGGGAUAACAGGCUGAUCUUGCCC